CUAACCCAUUUGUAUAGCCACCUUUUUUAUUCUUCCUAUACUAUCUCUUGCCUUCAAGCCGUUGCCGCUCAUGCAGAAGAAGGAUCGUUGCCGUCGCCGUUCAUGAAGAAGCAUCCUCCUCGUCGUUGCUUGCUGUCCUCUCUCUCACUUAGUCCCUAUCUCCUUUGGUCCUCUCUCAAUCACGGUGAGGAUCGCGAGUCCCAACUAGGGAGGACAUUGUUCAUGAUUUAUCGCGGCUCUCCACCCCUCUAGCCCUCUCUCACUCGCGACAAGGAAGGCGACUUCUCUGUCUCACUCACGGCAAGGAAGCAACCUCUCUGCCUCGAUCUCACACACAGCAAAUUAGGCGACAGUCGACCGCCUCACAAAUGAUCUAUCGUCGACUGGAGAGGAACGUCUUGGAUCACCCAGUCUCUCCAAGGAUUUCGUAUAUUUGGAUUAUCCGAUUUCACAAUUACAUAAUCAGAUUUAGGAGCUUAGAUGCUUGUUUAUGAUUGUCUAGUUUUUUUAUUUCUGAAUUUAUAUUAUUUUAUGGGUUUGUGUUAUUUCUUGAUUUGUUCUUUGUUAUUUCUUCUUCUUGUUCUUAGUAAUUCUGCUUGAAAUUUAUUGUUUAGUUGAGGAUUGAAUUAUGCAUUUUAAGUUUUUGCUUGAAGGUUUG
RNAcentral lists this long non-coding RNA (658 nucleotides) under Manihot esculenta (cassava). RNAcentral's name for it is "long non-coding RNA (MESC_LNC011204)". Lineage: Eukaryota; Viridiplantae; Streptophyta; Magnoliopsida; Malpighiales; Euphorbiaceae. The record is from RNAcentral.